UGGGGGAAUAUUGCACAAUGGGGGGGAACCCGUGAUGCAGCGACGCCGCGUGGGUGAAGGAGAUUUCGGUAUGUAAAGCCCUAUCAGCAGGGAAGAACAAUGACGGUACCUGACUAAGAAGCACCGGCUAAAUACGUGCC
This 140-nucleotide ribosomal RNA is filed under the name uncultured bacterium. Its description in RNAcentral is "partial 16S ribosomal RNA". It matches the Rfam family "Bacterial small subunit ribosomal RNA", at positions 354 to 509 of the family's 1533-position model. The record is from RNAcentral.